UUAUGGUUUAUUAAUUUUAUUUAAAGUUUAUUUUACAUAUAAAUUUUAGUGUUAAUUUAUAAUUAUUUUAAUAAUAAUUUUAAUAUUGUAGUAAUUAAUAUUAAAUUAUUUAAGAAAUUAAGAUUUAGUAAUACUUGAAUUAAUAACAAAUUUUGUGCCAGCAGUUGCGGUUACACAAAGAUUAAAUUAAAUUUUAUUAGUAAUAAUUAACAAUUAUAUUUUAUAUUUUAAAUUUUAGAUUAUUAGGUGAAAUUUUAAUUUAAUUAAAUUUUAUAAUAAGAUUGUGAUUUACUAAAUUUUAUAAAAAACUAGGAUUAGAUACCCUAUUAUUAAAAUUUAAAAUUUAUAUACUAAAAUAGUAAAUAAUUAUUUAUUUAAACUUAAAUAAUUUGGCGGUAUUUUAGUUCAUUUAGAGGAAUCUGUUUAAUAAUUGAUAAUCCACGAAUAAAUUUACUUAAUUUAUAAUUUUGUAUAUCGUUGUUAAAAAAAUAUUUUUUAAUAAUAUUAAUAUUUAAAAAUUUUUAUAAUAAAUUAAAUCAGAUCAAGAUGCAGAUUAUAAUUAAGAAUAUAAUGGAUUACAAUAAAUUUAUUUAAAUGAAUAUUAAUUUGUAAAAAUUAAUUGAAAGUGGAUUUAAGUGUAAUUUUAUUUAAUUUAGUAAAAUGAUUAAAAAUUAAAAUAUGUACAUAUUGCCCGUCGCUUUCAUAUAAUUAAUAAGUUGAAAUAAGUCGUAACAAAGUAGAGGUACUGGAAAGUGUUUCUAGAAAGAA
Molecule: non-coding RNA, 768 nt
Filed under: Abrostola triplasia (dark spectacle)
Lineage: Eukaryota; Metazoa; Arthropoda; Insecta; Lepidoptera; Noctuidae
Source: RNAcentral